Molecule: ribosomal RNA, 3021 nt
Filed under: Avibacterium paragallinarum
Lineage: Bacteria; Pseudomonadati; Pseudomonadota; Gammaproteobacteria; Pasteurellales; Pasteurellaceae
Description: 23S ribosomal RNA
Rfam family: Bacterial large subunit ribosomal RNA
Source: RNAcentral
AGUUAAGUGAGAAAGCGUACAGGGCGGAUGCCUUGGCAAUCAGAGGCGAAGAAGGACGUGCUAAUCUGCGAAAAGCGUGGGUGAGUUGAUAAGAAGCGUUUAACCCACGAUGUCCGAAUGGGGAAACCCGAUAGGCGAAGAGCCUAUCAUUGCGAGGUGAAUAAAAUAGCCUCGUAAGGCGAACCGGGAGAACUGAAACAUCUAAGUACCCCGAGGAAAAGAAAUCAACCGAGAUUCUGUGAGUAGCGGCGAGCGAAAGCGGAGGAGCCAGUAAGUAAUAGCAGCAGAGAUAGAGGAAUUGUCUGGGAAGGCAAGCGACACAGGGUGAUAGCCCCGUACUUAAAAUCCAGGCUGUGGUACUAAGCUUACGAGAAGUAGGGCGGGACACGAGGAAUCUUGUCUGAAGAUGGGGGGACCAUCCUCCAAGGCUAAAUACUCCUGAUUGACCGAUAGUGAACCAGUACUGUGAAGGAAAGGCGAAAAGAACCCCGGUGAGGGGAGUGAAAUAGAACCUGAAACCCUGUACGUACAAGCAGUGGGAGCCCCAUCACUCAAACACAUUGAGUGGUGGAAGAGGCAAAAAGCACCAAAAAUAACACCGCACUUUAAAGUGUAGGGUACGACGAGCGAAGCGAGUCAAACCCAAAAAUAGCAGUGUGAUUGAGUGAUGGGGUGACUGCGUACCUUUUGUAUAAUGGGUCAGCGACUUAUAUUUUGUAGCAAGGUUAACUGAAUAAGGGAGCCGAAGGGAAACCGAGUCUUAACUGGGCGGUUAGUUGCAAGGUAUAGACCCGAAACCCGGUGAUCUAGCCAUGGGCAGGUUGAAGGUUGGGUAACACUAACUGGAGGACCGAACCGACUAAUGUUGAAAAAUUAGCGGAUGACCUGUGGCUGGGGGUGAAAGGCCAAUCAAACCGGGAGAUAGCUGGUUCUCCCCGAAAUCUAUUUAGGUAGAGCCUUGUGUGAAUACCUUUGGGGGUAGAGCACUGUUUCGGCUAGGGGCCCAUCCCGGGUUACCAAACCGAUGCAAACUCCGAAUACCAAAGAGUAAUGCACAGGAGACACACGGCGGGUGCUAACGUCCGUCGUGGAGAGGGAAACAACCCAGACCGCCAGCUAAGGUCCCAAAAUCUAUAUUAAGUGGGAAACGAAGUGGGAAGGCUUAGACAGCUAGGAUGUUGGCUUAGAAGCAGCCACCAUUUAAAGAAAGCGUAAUAGCUCACUAGUCGAGUCGGCCUGCGCGGAAGAUGUAACGGGGCUAAAAUAUAGUACCGAAGCUGCGGCAUCAAUCGAAAGAUUGUUGGGUAGGGGAGCGUUGUGUAAGCGGAAGAAGGUGAUUUGAGAAGAUUGCUGGACGUAUCACAAGUGCGAAUGCUGACAUAAGUAACGAUAAAACGGGUGAAAAACCCGUUCGCCGGAAGACCAAGGGUUCCUGUCCAACGUUAAUCGGGGCAGGGUGAGUCGGCCCCUAAGGCGAGGCUGAAAAGCGUAGUCGAUGGGAAACGGGUUAAUAUUCCCGUACUUGGUAAAGCUGCGAUGUGGGGACGGAGAAGGUUAGGUUAUCGACCUGUUGGAGAUGGUCGUUUAAGUUGGUAGGUGGGUGAGUUAGGGAAUCCGGCUCUCACCGUUAACACUGAGAGAUGAUGACGAGGCACUAAGGUGCUGAAGUAACUGAUACCACACUUCCAGGAAAAGCCACUAAGCUUCAGGCUUUACUAAACCGUACUGAAAACCGACACAGGUGGUCAGGUAGAGAAUACUCAGGCGCUUGAGAGAACUCGGGUGAAGGAACUAGGCAAAAUAGCACCGUAACUUCGGGAGAAGGUGCGCCGGCGUAGAUUGUAGUGACUUGCUCACGAAGGUUGAACCGGUCGAAGAUACCAGCUGGCUGCAACUGUUUAUUAAAAACACAGCACUCUGCAAACACGAAAGUGGACGUAUAGGGUGUGAUGCCUGCCCGGUGCUGGAAGGUUAAUUGAUGGUGUAAUCGAAAGAGAAGCUCCUGAUCGAAGCCCCAGUAAACGGCGGCCGUAACUAUAACGGUCCUAAGGUAGCGAAAUUCCUUGUCGGGUAAGUUCCGACCUGCACGAAUGGCAUAAUGAUGGCCAGGCUGUCUCCACCCGAGACUCAGUGAAAUUGAAAUCGCCGUGAAGAUGCGGUGUACCCGCGGCUAGACGGAAAGACCCCGUGAACCUUUACUAUAGCUUGACACUGAACCUUGAAUUUUGAUGUGUAGGAUAGGUGGGAGACUAUGAAGCGGUAACGCCAGUUAUCGUGGAGUCGUUGUUGAAAUACCACCCUUUAACGUUUGAUGUUCUAACGAAGUGCCUGAAACGGGUACUCGGACAGUGUCUGGUGGGUAGUUUGACUGGGGCGGUCUCCUCCCAAAGUGUAACGGAGGAGCACGAAGGUUUGCUAAUGACGGUCGGACAUCGUCAGGUUAGUGCAAUGGUAUAAGCAAGCUUAACUGCGAGACAGACAAGUCGAGCAGGUGCGAAAGCAGGUCAUAGUGAUCCGGUGGUUCUGAAUGGAAGGGCCAUCGCUCAACGGAUAAAAGGUACUCCGGGGAUAACAGGCUGAUACCGCCCAAGAGUUCAUAUCGACGGCGGUGUUUGGCACCUCGAUGUCGGCUCAUCACAUCCUGGGGCUGAAGUAGGUCCCAAGGGUAUGGCUGUUCGCCAUUUAAAGUGGUACGCGAGCUGGGUUUAGAACGUCGUGAGACAGUUCGGUCCCUAUCUGCCGUGGGCGUUGGAGAAUUGAGAGGGGCUGCUCCUAGUACGAGAGGACCGGAGUGGACGCAUCACUGGUGUACCAGUUGUCUCGCCAGAGGCACAGCUGGGUAGCUAAAUGCGGAAGAGAUAAGUGCUGAAAGCAUCUAAGCACGAAACUUGCCUCAAGAUGAGUUCUCCCAGUCUAUAAGACUGUAAGGGUUGUUGGAGACUACGACGUAGAUAGGCUGGGUGUGUAAGCGGUGUGAGCCGUUGAGCUAACCAGUACUAAUUGCCCGAGAGGCUUAACUAU